Molecule: long non-coding RNA, 12400 nt
Organism: Bombus huntii
Lineage: Eukaryota; Metazoa; Arthropoda; Insecta; Hymenoptera; Apidae
Exons: 2
Source: RefSeq, a predicted model, not a curated record
CAAAUGCUUCUUGUAGCCACUGUAUAAUCUUAUAAUCUUUUUUUUUUUCCAUAUCGACGCGUAACUCAUUCGACGCUAAAAGGUUAACGUAGCGUGCAUAAAGCUCAGCGAGCCAUUUGCCUUAAUCAGCAACGUAGUUAAUAAAUGAAACAUACUUUUACCAGAGGCACUUUCGCGUGAUCUUUACGAUACACCGUUGCACCGCCAGUUUUCUUCCGUUUCACAAUUUUAAUCAGAAUAAUGGGAUUAUACGAGGCAGAAACUAAGCGAAAUAUUAAUUCGGAGAUGCUGCCGGUAUACUUGAAAUUCAUCAGCGGCCGGGCAAACGAAUGGCUCUCGCCGAUUGUAAAUUCUAUCCCCGUAACCUUGUUUCGAACCUGCUCGUUUUCAUGUCGGUAACGCAGACAGCGACACAGGCAACGAGGAAAAAACGUUGCGAGUUUACUUUCACGCGUAUAUAAGAAACACGUUCGAUGUAUUCUGCCUGCGUUUCAUGCGUUUCCUCGUUCCUACUAUUUUCGAUUCAACGAGAUACACCGAGCCAUACCACACAGGGUGUCUUCUCAUGGUUUGAUAGCCAAACUUCGUCACUACGUUAUUACGAGUAUAACGAAGCGAAAAAUGUUAUAUAAAUAGAGUCGUCAACGAGUCAUCAACAUUCGACUGGACGCGUUCAAUACGAUGGUGCAUCGCCCUUCAAGGACCAGGUGUGCGAUGUCAACGUCAACAACAGAAAAUUUGCGGUCCGUUAUUCCGCGGGUUAACGAUGGACACAAAUACCUCACAGAUAAUUUGCAACAUCGAUCGAUUAUUGUAGAUUUAUUAGUAGAUUGUAACUAUAAUUUGAAAAAGAUUUAGCGCGUAAUUUAGACAUUACUGUAGUUAGCUUCUUCAAAGAUCAAGCAAAACAUUGAUAUUCGAACUUCAUAAAAUAAAAUAAAAAUCGAAUGAAAUCGAAUUUGUAACUGGAUCGAGGUUGAUGCCAUCGCGAUCGAGGAAGAAGUCGCGAGUGGAUGCGAAUGGAAAAUAUCGGAAAGAUAUUGUGUAUAACGUACACGUGGUCCGCGUUCUUUACACGUCCGGAGGUGAAGGAAUUUCAAGUGGCGGUGCGCGAUGGCUCGCGGCUGGUUAAAUGCAAACUUGUCCUGGUGCCAAGUAAAGCCAAUUACUGCAUAAUACCGUCAGCUCCGUUAGUAGCUUUUGCUGGAACGCGACAGGGAACAGACAAAGCCAGAGACCUUGCCACGAUUAAGAAGCGCAGGCAAAGUGGCACACAACCACAAUUUUCAUAGAAAAUACAUGGCAGGUCGAGAUUCGGAUUUAUCGAAAUUUUGCUUGCCAAAGACGCGGCUAUUUCAUGGGAUCGAAUAAACGUCGUAGAUUUUCUAAUAGGAAAAGUGAACUUUUAGGGUUUGAAGGUUUAAGAUUGUAGUUGGAAAUUGUUAAAAAUAAUUAUAGGUCUUUAAUUUCCGACGAAUACGUCACAGUUUCAGGAAUACGUCGCGUUUGUUCGUUCGUAAAGAUCGAUUUCUAUGCAACGAUCAGCGUUGACAGGCUUUGUAAAAAGAAAUUUCAUUCGUCACUGUCUUAAUAUAUCGUUCAGAAAUGUUCGACUGAAUUAUUUAUUGAAACAGGCACUCGCGAGUCCUCCAUAACAAUCAACGUAAUCAACAUAAUGAUCUUCCUGCAAAAGCUCGCGCUUUUUCUAAUUCGUUAAAUAUGUAAUAUCGUUCGUUGAAUAUGUAUCUACGUACGUGUAUUUCCAAUUAUAGCGGACGUUUAAAUUUCAGAAUAUAAAAUACUUUCGAAAAAACAUCCGACUGUAGGUCUCCGCGUAAAGCAAUUUCUACUCAAUUUUUGACCAGGGAAGUUGCAAAAAUCGACUGACAAAAUAUCUACAUUUGUACAUAAAAAAAGAAAAAAGAAAUACAAGAUCGUACGAAUCGACUAAUGGCAGAAACUUGAUCGUAUUUUCCAACUUUAUCAAUCUGUAUGUACAAGGUGUGCCGUUUAAGACCGUCUAAACGUCUGAUUCACUUUUAACGAAGCGAGAGACGUGUCGAACAUCGUUCGAAAGGUUUUAAAACCUUCCCGAUUUUUUUUUUCAUCAAGUUUUUUACGUCACCGGUAUUUUUUGCCAGACAGCAUAUACUUUUUUCAUUGCAUCGUACGAUACGCGUUAAGAUGCAUCGUGAUGUGCCUGCCAGUCGUACGACAUCGAGACGACUCUGAACAUGAAAAAGAUAAUAAAGUUCCGAGACGAUGUUGGCACAGCAGCGAACUUUUUGUUGCGAUGUUCAUUAGCGGCGAUGCACCGUUCAAAGCGAGAAAUUACGGAUCGCGAUGCUCUUUCUACCUCCUCUAACGCGAUAGCUUUACAAGUUCCAGUUAUCCGAUUCUUCGUAUAUUCUGGACUAUCAGAUUACCGUUGAUAAACCUUUUCUUUCAACUUUCCGCAAGAUAAAAAUCUAACGCUGUUAAUUCCGAACAAUGUGCUGCUCGCGAAACAUGAUCGUUACGAUUAGGGAAUUUUCCAUUUAACACUUGCGUGGCAACUUAGAAACAACGAGCUGAACAGUCAUCAUCACGUUGGUACCACGCGUUUUCCACCAAGGAUUCAACGUUUCUCGUAUCGUUAACAAUGAAGCAGAUAUUUAGUUGAUCGGUUUUAAGUAGGACACUCUGUAUAUGAUCUACUUUUUAGUUAAACUCCGCGCAAAGCACCCAAUCCUCGAUCGAGGAAGUUACACGAGUCGUCGUGAUACGCACGGCCAGUCAUGGAACUAUUAACCCAUUUUUUAUCCGGCGCGCGAAAACUAGGGACACGUCGGUACACGAAGUGACUGGGAAUGGCGCUCAGCCUUGGGAAAAGGAUGGAAAAAGUGUCGGCGAAUGACAAACAAUAUUUUUUGCCCGGCUCUACGAGGGGACCACUGAACGAGAUUGAAUGACAUCUAACUCCCGCACUGCGUUUGUUCUUCCUUUUAUUUCGCGCCGUUGCACUCUCCACACCCUCGCCAACUUUGCUUUUACCCCUUUUUGUUCCCCUGCUACUCUUUCGUUCGUGUUUCUCUCGCCUAUACCCUGUGUUUGUUCUUCCAACUGUUCUUGUCGCCUGUUCCUCGUUUUUUUCUUCUUUUUCAUCGUUCUUUCUUCCUCCGGCCGACAAAAGUUACGACUGCCAACGAGAAAAUCGGAAUCGCGGAAGCUCGGAAUCGUCCGAGGAAUGGCCGCGGAAUACUGCACGAUGAAUAUUAAAGUAAGAAGAAAGAAAAUUGUAAAAUGUACGCAUAUGCAAAGAUUUAGAAAAUUGCUUAAAAUUGCAUUUAAAAUUGCAUUUAAAAUUUCAAUCGAUUAAAUUGGAAACAAGGCCAUUUUUAAUCCUUAACUAUCGUCUGUUGCAGGAAAGUUCUAUCUCUGAAUAUCUGUUUAUGUAUAUUCCAUACAUUUGUGUUAUAUUCGUGUAUGUUCAUGCGUAUUUUCUCUACAUUUUAUACGUUUCGAUUUCCAGUAAAUACACGGACAGGCGAAUGCAACGAUAGAACGUGGAUCAACGGAAUCGAAGCGAUUUCUUCGUAAUUCGUAACGAAGAAACGAUCGUGGAAAUUCGUAUCGUAGCGUGGAAACAGUAUUUGAAUUCGUGGCAUUCGUGUUGCAUUUCCGUAAUAUCUGGUUCGAUGUUAUCGAUAACGGCGCACUUUGCGAUUAAAUACCGUUUCGUCGGUCGAAUUGAAUCCUGGAGAAACGGUCGACAACUCGGAAACGCGAGGAUUAAUCGAUCUAUCGUUUGCGUAAUGCAACAGGCCGAUCUGGCCACCGAGCAUGAACCUUAACAAUGUUGUUUCCGGUGCUUUCCAUUCACCGAAGCCUCGUUAUGAUCCCAGCAAAGCGAUCGUUAAUUUCCGCUUGCUAUCGCAUAGUUUUUGUCGUUUUAAAUCAAAAUCGUUUGAUCAAACUACAUCUUGUUAAUCGUCAAGAAUUUCUAGUAUUACAUUUCUAUCGCAAAUAAUAUGAACUGACUUGAUUAAAUGCCAUUCAUGUUUUAUUCGUUUCUAAUUUCACCAGCAAAGAAGUGUUUGGUUAAGCAAUUACCCAGCUAUUAGAUAUGAAAACCAGAGAUCGAGGGAUUAAAACUAAACGAGCCUUCAGUUACCCUUUCAACCACCUUAUCCCAGGAAUAAAAUAGUAUUAUUAUUAUAUCCUUCUAAUGCUACUCGUCCUGUUCAAUGAACAUCUCAUCGCGAACGAGGAUUAUCGUGAAUAGCUUUCGAGCGGAGAGUCGACUAAAACUUACGAUUCUCUAGAAAUUUUGUAUAAAGAUGAACGCAUAAUUCCUGUGUUUAUUAUUUUUCUAUACGUUCGCCAAUUUUCAGGAUAAUUGGCAAAAUAAAUUUGUCAUCCCUCGCACCGAGGAUCGUCUUUGUCUUUAUCCCGUAGAAUUUCUGCUAUUGAUUUUAUUUACCUUGGAAUUUCUAAUUUCUCAUUACCGAUAAAGAUGAAUCGUAUUUUAUCUUUACAUUAUCGUCAAACUUACGAUUCUCUAGAAAUUUUGUAUAAAAAGGAACGCAUAAUUCCUGUGUUUAUUAUUUUUCUAUACGUUCGCCAAUUUUCGGGAUAAUUGGUAAAAUAAACUUGUCAUCCCUCGUACCGAGUGUCGUCUUUGUCUUUACCCCGUAGAAUUUCUGCUAUUAAAUUUAUUUACCUUGGAAUUUCUAAUUUCUCAUUACCGAUAAAGAUGAAUCGUAUUUUAUCUUUACAUUAUCGUCAAACUUACGAUUCUCUAGAAAUUUUGUAUAAAGAGGAACGCAUAAUUCCUGUGUUUAUUAUUUUUCUAUACGUUCGCCAAUUUUCAGGAUAAUUGGCAAAAUAAACUUGUCAUCCCUCGCACCGAGGAUCGUCUUUGUCUUUAUCCCGUAGAAUUUCUGCUAUUAAAUUUAUUUACCUUGGAAUUUCUAAUUUCUCAUUACCGAUAAAGAUGAAUCGUAUUUUAUCUUUACAUUAUCGUCGAACAAAACCAAUUUAACCAGAUACGAUUCGUUUUCGUUAAGUCUUCUGCUUCGCUAUUAUAAAUGCUUCUGGUGAAACGAUUAUCAGAUUAAAAAUCAUAAACUGUGGAUUAAAAUUAAACGAUUUUUCAAGCAUUUCUUAGCCGCGUCUAGCCUUCUAGAAGCGAAAGAGAAAAUUAUUCAGCCACCAAAUUCGUCGCCGUUGAUGAAUAUCUCAUCGCGAACAGUUAAUCAGAGAAAGUUAGAAUCGGAUCGGACCGAUGUCCGUGUUAAUUGGUCGGUCGGUUGCUAAACUUGAUUAGAAUCGUGAUUAGAAAAGCAAGGAAGUCGUUGAUUGAAGUAGCAAUCGGUGCAUUUCCACAGGAAAAUUACUCGAUUUUCGGGGUUUCACCGAAUUUAAUUCGAUCUCGCAAUCAGAGGUUGUAUUAUUGCCCGGGUCGUAACGAAUAUCGAAUUAAUUCGAUCCUCUCAUCACGUGCAUGUGUGUAAACAGAUGCGCAUGGUUUAUACACACGGGGAAAUUUCACUAAUUAACAACAGAUAGGUAAACGCGCACCUAUCGACGGAUAUCCGUGGACCGGAUUGUUUUAUCAAGGUUCGUCGUGUUUGUCUUGAUAAUAAUAAUAAUAACAACCGGGACAUAAUGAACUUUUCAAUUAUUCGUGACAUUGUCAGAAUUUACGUACUAUACUGUUAUACCGUAAUGGAUGCAAGAAGAAAUCGCAAUAUCAAGAACGCGGUAGUAAAUCCUAUCUUUGUAUUCUGAUUAAACAUUCCGAUUUAUUUUUUCUCUCAAGUUGAAAGUUUUGUAAAAAUUCUUAGUCCUCUCUGUCUACGAGUAUGAACGCGCUAAAUUAAACGUAAUUUCAGUUUAACCGAAUUCCAAACGAAGAAGGAAACCGCAGAACGCUGUGAAAAAUUUUAAUUAUUCUUCUAACGAAGCUUCGAAUCUACUCGUGAAAUUUAAUUAAAAUUAAUCCAAGAAAAUAGCUAGCCGAUACUAUACGAUAUUUUAACCGUACUUCCACGGAAGCUUUCUACUAUACGCCUUUUAUAUUUAACUUAAAUUAAACCACAAAAGAAUAUCACCAUGCAAAAUCUUAAUUGCCUUUCGUCGAAGCUUCGUGUUUAUUCUUUCGAUCGAGAUUCAAUUAAAAUCCGAAAAAAAAUCAUCCAAUAUCAUGUAGAAUUUCUAUCGUGUUAUUAGCGAAUUUCUAAAUGGAAAUAGAAAGAACGGAAUAUAAUAUCAUAGAUAGCUUUUAUUAUUAUUUUUAAAAUAAUCCUUCGUGCCCCUAAUUUCCAAAGGUAUCGGUAUUCGAUGGAAACGUUUCGCGUUAACGAUGAAACCUACGUUAUUCCUAUUUCUCGAUGUCGAAUUUAAUCCGAACGAUAUUUGUCCCGACGCUGGUCUCAAUCACGCGGUCAUAAGCUUUAUUGCUAGGAAGGGGCGAUAUAACGAAUAUUAAAUCGCGCGAAUGAAUACGCAUUCAAUUUGGUAAUGUUCUCGUUUGUGGUAUUAUACGAUGCUCACUGCGUGCUGCAAUAUGACUGCAUACGCGAAACUGGUUGCGAGGAAGUGGAUGUACGUGGACACGCGUGUUACAUCUCCCAUAACGCAAAUACAAGCGAAUUUGUCGAUGCUUCGUGAGCCCUGACACGUGACAUUGUUCAUUUAUUGCGACCGAUAUAAACGUUGACAAUAGUAACAUUUAAUAAACCGUUCGCGACUUAAACAUAUAUUAAUUUUCAUUGUUUCCUGUUGGUUGUAAAGGGAGGGAUAUCAUUUUCAGAAAGUCCAACGAUUAAAUAGCGUUUUCGUUUACGAGGAAUUUUUGGCGAGAUGGGCGGAUUAAAAAAGAUUUUGUGAACGAGAACUUUGCUGCGGUAGAGUUAAUUUAUGGUAUUUAUAUGGUGAAACGGUAGGGAUGGAAUUGCGAGAGACAAUUGCGGGAAGGACAGGAAGACGCGUGUUAUAUGGUUGAUCGGGGCAUCGUAAUUAGAAAUUACUCAAUUUUCGGAUUUUCAAAUCGCGGAAUUCACGGAGCUUGGAAUUCUCAAAGUUUUGCAAAGUUCCUAAAGCUCCGAAUUUUCAAAUCUUCGAAUUCCGAAACUUUCGAUCUUUCGAAUCGUUCGAUUCUGAAAAUGUUGAUUUCUUAAGCGUUAGAAUUCUUAAAAUUUCGUCUUAACGUAGUCCAUAGAACUUGGAAUUCUUAAAUUCUCUGAAUUUUUCAGAAAUUAUUAACCGUCCUUUUUAUCAGCAAGAAAAUGGAAAAAAAUGUGCAUCCGAAAACCUACGAAUAACUCUCGCGAUAUCAUUUAAUCGUAUUCAAUUUCUGCUGAAAGUAAUCGAAUACAACUCGCAUUCUGUCCGCGUUUCUUUUCCAUAGCAAUUCUACGAACUUUCUCCUUAAUCGACGAAAUAUCAUUUCUGACGUCAGUGGAAAAGUGCGAGUGGAACACUCGCUUUGUUCUCUCGAACCAUCUUUCCCGAGAUCAUUCUCCGUCGUUUUUUCGAAUGCUGAGAAUAGUCGAUCCCAGGAAGAAUCGUAAUUUUCUCGGCCUCCAUUCUCUGCAUCCCCGUUUCCUCGCCCAAUCUCUCACGAAGACAAAGACGCCUUCUUCUUUUCGUAUAUUGCCAGGGCAGAACGAAAUUCCUCGCGCGGUGAAAUUGAAAAUACCUUCGGGUUUCUUCAUUUUCAAGCGCAAGGUCUCGCCUCUUCUCGCAAACUGUCAUGGAUCGUUCGAUACUCUCUGCCCUUUCUCGUUUUCUCUCUUUCGCUUUUCGCUUAUUUGCACGCUUGUCGCGCUAAAGAGGGAUCAGGGCCAUUAAAACGAUUGCUUUCUUCCCGCUCCGGAUUGCUAAGUUCUACGCCACUCCUCUUUUUUUUUUAUUUUUCCUCCUCUUCCUUUUUUUUUCUUUUUCUUUUUUUUUACCGUCGUUUUAGAAUCGUAGUCUGUACGCGUAGUGGAAUUGUUAACGAUCGAAGACCGCAAGGAGAACAUAAAACGCGAUAAGUGUAUUCUUGUUGAUUUUUAUCGACUUUUAGUAAUUCGAUUGCCUCGAUGGUCGAGUACUUCGCUGUAACACGAUGGCAAAGAAUAAUUUUGCAAAGUUCAAAGACGUGAAUUAAAUCUGGUUGAGAAAUUGGUUGUGAGAGACUUUAGUCGUAGCGAUGACUGUAUCGUGGGUGUUUAUGUAUUUAUGGCAAAUUUAACAUUGUCAUUGGCAGAGACAAAUAGCUUUACAGAAUUAACGAUAUAAAAUAUGUUUUAAGUUACACGAAGCAUAUUAUGGAUUUAUAUUUGAUUUAUUUAAAGCUCCCAGUCUGUUGUGUAAAGUAGAUUAUGAAAACGUUUUUCAUCGAGAUUACACGAUCGAAAGAAAAAUAUUUUUGUUACGAAUUACCGAUACCUGCACAAAUAAAAUAUAAUCAAUUUUUCACUAUAUAAAAUGCUAUUACAAUUAAUUUCUUUAUACCUUUUUUAAAGACACCUGUUCCUCUAUGUACGUAUAUGAUAUUUACACAUUCAUUUCCGGUGCAAAUGCAUGUAACACGCGAAGCAUCAUUCGAAACGAUUUCAUUUUACCUAAUGGAAUAUUUUUUUACCUUUUAUUAUUUUAAAGUUAUGCCACGGACCAGUUGCGUGGGACGUUCUUUGCUGUUUGAAUAUUUUCGUUUUUCCUCUCUGUCUCUAACUUUCAAACUAUCCAUCUUAUUUCGUAAUCAACGACAUUUCAACUUCGUGGACGCUGUGUGUCGUCUUGACCAACGUGUCUACCGAAAUGACCUAAACUACGACCUAUCCUAUCGUGUUUACGUCUAACGUUCGAAAGCUUUCGAACCCUGGACAUUCCAGAAAGUAACAUUCAAAUUCCAAAAAUCAGCGAUUCGUUGAUCACCGUGUUUAGCACCGUAAAUAAAAUCAACGACGUUUCAGUCAUUUUACUUCUGUCUUUCGACAACGUUACGCGUUAUUUCGUUGAUUAAUUCUUUGAAAUAAGUUAUUUUCUGUAAGUAAUUUUCUUGGUAAGUAAUUUUCUGUAACGUAUCUCUUUACACACAGAUUGACGGAUGAACAGACAGACAGACAGACAGACAUAGAAUAUAAUUAAUAUUAUACUAGAAAAUAAUUUAAAAAUCACUUAGAGAUACUUAGAUAUGUAUUUUUGAAAUCAAAUAAGAACAUACUUUUAGUAACAUAAAACGAGUUGGGAACGUUGUGAACUUUUGAAAAUUGCCUCUCUUGGAAAAGAUGAAAAGUACGAAUUAUUAUCUCUUUCUGCUAUGGUUUUCAAUUAAAACAUGCUUUUUAAUUAGCGAGUAAUAUUCUCUUUUAUUAUCCAUUAUUUGCAAGAAAUUGCAUACGCUUAUCGUGAUUCGUUCUGCAAAGUAAUUAAUUACGUUUGAGGUGGUUACUGUAGGUGGUAUAAAUGACGGACCAAUUAGGUUCGAUCAAUCAUGGCUGUCGAUAAUUUUCAUGCACAAUGUAGAUGGUAUUUCAUAAGGUUUCUUUUGUAGAAUUUUUCCAAGAAUUCUUCCACCUUUUUAUUAUUUGAUUUAAUAGCCAUUAAAGGUAUCAUACAACCUGGGUGGAGUAAAAACCUCUUUUACCUAAUAUUUAAAAAUAUGUUGGCGUUUACUUUUCUGUUAUAAAUAAAAUAAUUUAAUAAAUAAUUUAAUUAAUAAAUAAAAUAAGAAUUUCUUUUUAAUUUUUUUAUUUUUUUUGUAAAUUUUUCCAUCGAGACAACGAUCUACAGUGAGAUCCGUUAUAACGAGACGCGAUAAAGUGCACACGUACCGAGCGAAAAUUCAAAGUCGAUUUUCCCGAAAACAAAGCCUCGAACGAAAAAUUUUUGUUCUAUAUUUUCGACUUCUUUUUUCGCGUAGAAUCACCCCCUUCCCGCUCGUGCCACCAGUUACCACCCACCCUGUAUAAGAUAGUUAUAACUAAAAUACCUCGCAGAAUAUUAAUUUCAGUAACACGAGGAUUCGGAAAAUUCAAAAUUCAAUAACGCUUUGAUUUAUAUUUCAUCGAUCGUCUUACGUUAAGUUGCUCUGUGGAGUAUUUAUUUUAAUACGAUACAAAUUCACGGAGAAUUCGAAAUUUAAUAACAUUCUGACAUUCGUUCCUUUUUCAAUAAUCCUAACGAUCCUAUCACAUCAAGAUGAUCUAAAUAAUUAGAACCUUAAUUUCAUUGAAAUAAGAAUUCGCACAAUUAUUUCAGGAUAUUUACUAAAUUUCGAUAUAUAUUUUCUUUUUAUACAAUAAUCGAUCAACACACGUAUUAAUGUAAUAUCAAAAUUUAAAAUUCACGAUUUAGAAGCUCUAUACGAUAAGAUUUUAGAAAGUUAAUUAUUUGCCAUCGGUCGGAGGAAGCCUGUCCGGUCGUAACCUGUAAUAGCUGUUCGCUCGACGUUGCUAUAGCGAAAGGGUUAAUUACCGUUGACCAGCACAUGGACGUAUAGUACACUUGACUUUGACGGUCGAAUAACCGCACAAGGUUUCGUGACGUUCCCGUUCUUCGUCCAAUCUUCUGAAUCGUUUUGCAUUGUUCUAACUUGCAUUUUUCACUCGUUAAAUCUUUGUUGAAAUGGAAUUGUUGGAGAGGAACUUUUUUCCUAAUUUUUUAGAGAAUCUUUCCCCGAAGAUCCUCGAAGAGUGGGUUUCUUGUUGAUCAAGAGAUCAAUUGUUAAAAAAGUAGAAUUUAUUUAACGACUAAUUUAUAUAUGUCGGAGAUGAAAGGACAUCGGGGCUUCCCUUUUGGAAUGUUGGGAAAAACCCCAAUACCCUAGUCCAGACUUUUACUAUAGCUACACUUAAUAAAACUAUAAAGGAUAUAACCUAACAAACACGAAGAUGGUACCCCGCUGGGGAUAGCCACCCACGUGAUAAUCAAACAGCUAAAAAAUUCUACCAAAUGUCCAAAUUGAACAAAUUGUGAAUGUGAAAUAUUAAAUAAAAAAAAAAUUUAAUAAAACUAAGAAAUAGUUUUAAUGUUCUAAUCCGAUUUUAUGACGAUGGGCUUGAGCUCGAAGUGACAUAACUGAUGGGUCACUGAACGUAGCCACGGUCACGGGAGGGACGUGUACCUGACAGAGGUAUGGAAUAAUUAUAUAGCCCUCCUUAAAAGCAAAGAGAGGUGGGGAGAAGAAUAUAUAAGGGCAGUUCCACUUGGACUGCAAGUUAGUUCAUUCAGAUAAGUUUUACUUGUACAUUGAGUCAUACGUGUGUCACAUCGCCUUCGUCAUCCCGUUGAACGUGGAUUCGUUAUCGAACCUGACUUCAUUGUCAUUAACAUCUUGACCACCCGAUCGCCGCUAUUACUUGUAGCCUCUCGUAGUGACCACAUUUGUACCAAUAAAUAUCAGCUACAACCAUUUACGAUGGUAAAUUUGAGCGAAGGUUCACCAAACGCUCAAAAUUCCAACCUUAACUCGACAUAUACAUUGGUUCAAGUUUAAUAGAAAUUAAAAUAAACCGACUCGUACUAGUAACGAGGAGAGAAAAUAUGAAAUUAUUUCAAGAGCGAGAAGGUACUUGGUUCUACAGCGAUUAAAAUCAGAUAAAUUUCGCGGAUUAAUAAAUUUACAACGUGAACGAUGACAUUGUCAAAAAAAAGUGCAAUCUAUCGUGUUGCAGAAAUUAAAAAUUGCCGUGCGAUAUAUUUCGAUCUCCUAGGGAUCCCGGGGAAAAAUGUACAAAAUUCCGAUGGCAGUCAACGUGUUAAAUUGGUCCGUAACAUCUGAUCUUGAAUCCCCUAUUAUCGAUAGGAGGGAAAUCAUUAUGGAGUAGCACGUAGUGAUCGAUCACCAUAGUUGUAUAACUGCGACGAUCGGACAAGGUCGGAAUGAUGUUCACUCGGGUAAUUCGCCCUUAGGAUUAUAUAGAUUCUCCGCACGACCUUAACGGCGGAUUCCGCUGAAAAUUUUCCGUGGUUUCGUCGGACGCUUCUAAAGGAACGCGGUAUUCUGGUUUGCAGCUGAAAUACAGGCUAGGAUUCCACGACCCUAUGGAAUUUUGGCGACUCCUUUGUAUUUUAUUGCGAGAGAAGAUUCUCGAAAUUAUUAUCAUAAGGAGAUAUUUACAGCAGCGGACGAAAGAAGGAAAUUUAUUUUGUAAAAUAAAAAGUGUAAAAAGGGCACUAUAAUUUCACGAUAUAUAUGUAAUAAGAGCAACGAAUAAAUACGACACGAAGGUUACUGAAAUUCAUAGCGCACCAAUUUCAAACCUUUCUCCUUGUUAAAUCAAAUUUUAAAUAUAUUGAAAUUGAAAAGCGAUCGAGCGAAAUGCAACGCGUAAAAUCGCAAAAGAUUGAAAUUGAUCAAUUUUUGAUUUUAUCGAACGGAACUAAAGGAACGAAAGCUAAAUAAAAAUUUGUUUCAUAUGCUCAA